GAAACGGAAGCAUUCUCAGAAACUGCUUUGUGAUGAUUGCAUUCAACUCACAGAGUUGAAGAUUGCAUUUGAAACAGCAGUUUCUAAACACUCUUUCUGUGGGAUCUGCAAGUGGAUAUUUGGACCUCUUUGAAGAUUUCGUUGGAAAAGGGAUAAUCUUCACAUAAAAGCUAAACUGAAGCAUUAUCAGAAACUUCUUUGUGAUGCGUGCAUUCAACUCACAGAGUUGAACAUUCCUUUAGAUAGA
This 247-nucleotide long non-coding RNA is filed under the name Homo sapiens (human). RNAcentral describes it as "non-protein coding lnc-OR4A5-3:2". Lineage: Eukaryota; Metazoa; Chordata; Mammalia; Primates; Hominidae. The record is from RNAcentral.